RNAcentral lists this unclassified non-coding RNA (343 nucleotides) under Hevea brasiliensis (rubber tree). Lineage: Eukaryota; Viridiplantae; Streptophyta; Magnoliopsida; Malpighiales; Euphorbiaceae. The record is from RNAcentral.
UGAUUAUCCUGAAAAGUAUUAAUUUACCUGUCAAUAGAUGAAAAGCAUUUCUUGAUUUUUAUUUUUCUCAUUUGGUUCUGUUUUAAGCAUGUUGCUUGUUUUUGGUUCUUUGUGCUUUACAUGUUGUGGUGAUUUCUUCAUCCCACAACCCCAACACACACACCACCACCAAAAAGAAAAGGAAAAAAACCUCUCCUUUGCUGGGUUAAGAACAGAAAGGGCUAUAUUUUUCUCACCAUUUUUUUAAAAGCAUUGUUUUGGAUAAUAUUAAAAUUGAUUAUCAGUGACAAUUUUAAAGGUGACUGUUUAUUUAUAUUUCAGGUUUGUUGUAACUGCAGUUUGA